RNAcentral lists this ribosomal RNA (368 nucleotides) under Serratia marcescens. Its description in RNAcentral is "bacterial SSU rRNA". It matches the Rfam family "Bacterial small subunit ribosomal RNA", at positions 228 to 588 of the family's 1533-position model. The record is from RNAcentral. Lineage: Bacteria; Pseudomonadati; Pseudomonadota; Gammaproteobacteria; Enterobacterales; Yersiniaceae.
UGCCCAGAUGGGAUUAGCUAGUAGGUGGGGUAAUGGCUCACCUAGGCGACGAUCCCUAGCUGGUCUGAGAGGAUGACCAGCCACACUGGAACUGAGACACGGUCCAGACUCCUACGGGAGGCAGCAGUGGGGAAUAUUGCACAAUGGGCGCAAGCCUGAUGCAGCCAUGCCGCGUGUGUGAAGAAGGCCUUCGGGUUGUAAAGCACUUUCAGCGAGGAGGAAGGUGGUGAACUUAAUACGUUCAUCAAUUGACGUUACUCGCAGAAGAAGCACCGGCUAACUCCGUGCCAGCAGCCGCGGUAAUACGGAGGGUGCAAGCGUUAAUCGGAAUUACUGGGCGUAAAGCGCACGCAGGCGGUUUGUUAAGU